CACUCCUGCGGGAGGCAGCAGUGGGGAAUUUUGGACAAUGGGCGAAAGCCUGAUCCAGCAAUGCCGCGUGAGUGAAGAAGGCCUUCGGGUUGUAAAGCUCUUUUGUCAGGGAAGAAACGGUGAAAGCUAAUAUCUUUUGCUAAUGACGGUACCUGAAGAAUAAGCACCGGCUAACUACGUGCCAGCAGCCGCGGUAAUACGUAGGGUGCAAGCGUUAAUCGGACUUACUGGGCGUAAAGCGUGCGCAGGCGGUUUUGUAAGUCUGAUGUGAAAUCCCCGGGCUCAACCUGGGAAUUGCAUUGGAGACUGCAAGGCUAGAAUCUGGCAGAGGGGGGUAGAAUUCCACGUGUAGCAGUGAAAUGCGUAGAUAUGUGGAGGAACACCGAUGGCGAAGGCAGCCCCCUGGGUCAAGAUUGACGCUCAUGCACGAAAGCGUGGGGAGCAAACAGGAUUAGAAACCCCAGUAGUCCCAUGA
RNAcentral lists this ribosomal RNA (475 nucleotides) under uncultured organism. Its description in RNAcentral is "partial 16S ribosomal RNA". It matches the Rfam family "Bacterial small subunit ribosomal RNA", at positions 334 to 800 of the family's 1533-position model. The record is from RNAcentral.